This 403-nucleotide ribosomal RNA is filed under the name Metagonia sp. 3 JJA-2006. Its description in RNAcentral is "partial 16S ribosomal RNA". It matches the Rfam family "Bacterial large subunit ribosomal RNA", at positions 1855 to 2597 of the family's 2925-position model. Lineage: Eukaryota; Metazoa; Arthropoda; Arachnida; Araneae; Pholcidae. The record is from RNAcentral.
ACUCCUGCUCAAUGUACAAUAAAUAGCCGCAGUCAACUGUGCUAAGGUAGCAUAAUCACUUGUUUCCUAAUUAGAAAAUAGUAUGAAUGGAAUAACGGACUAAAAUUGUUUCUAUUUACCAAAACUAAAUUGAUCUUUGUGUUAAAAAUCACAAAUACCCUAACAAGACGACAAGACCCUGAUAAACUUAAACAUUUAGUUGGGGCGACAAAAUAAAAAUACCUUAUUAUUAUUAGAUAACUGUAACCUUAACAAAAGAACUAGACCAGUUACUACAGGGAUAACAGCGUUAUUUUUCUCUAGAGCCCUCAUCAAAAGAAAAGAUUACGACCUCGAUGUUGAAUUAAUUAGUCUUAAUAAAGCAAAAAUUAUUAAAGAAAGUCUGUUCGACUUAUAAAUAAUU